AAACGGGACGAUCCCGUUUUUUUGCCGAGUUGGCUAUUACCCGGUUGGUUGAUUGUUGGUUACUAUUGUAGAUAGUCAUUUGUUUAUUGCCUUAGAAAUUGGCGAUAAACGUAUCAGCUGACGUGAGCUGUAUCCAGGAAAGAUAUAAGCAGAAAUAUAUAUUUAAUUGAGAUGUGGUUUUAAAUGCUAAGUGGUGUUAAGUUGUGGUGUCAAGUUAAAUGCAAGUGAAAAAGGAAAAGUGCAAUUUUUAGAAACAAUUGUUAAUCUGAAUAAAUAUACAGGUUUGCUAUUCUUUCUAAUACCAUUUUAUUACGCUUUGAUCUUAGUUUUGUUUCAGAUUUAGUUAAUACGAUCGAGUAUUUACAAGUAUCUACAAGAGAUAUAUAAAAGAGAACUUUAACGAAGAAGAAAAAAUAAAUGACUUCAAACAAUAAUCAUUGGUAUUCAGCACCAAAUUGCAUAUUGACAAUUAAUUUAGAGAAACGGCAUUAUUUUCGUUUUUCAAAAGAGCAUGAUAGAUGGUUGACAUAGGUACAAGCAUGUGAAAGAAUAGAUCUUCUACUAAAAGGGCCAAAAUAUUUUUAAAACUGUCGCUUGUGUCAUCUUCAUCUUGAAAACAAAUUUUAUUUUAUAAAAAAAAGGACAUAACUUCAUCCAAAUGCCAUUCCAACAAUAUUUUAUAUGUGCAAUUUGGAUAAUAGAAAAUGUAGGAGUAAUUCUGUCUGCACCAGUGCAAGAAGAAGUACAUCAAGCGAUAUCCGGCAUCCUUCCAAAAGUCUGAAUCAUAGAUUACAGAUGGAGAACAAAAAAUUAAAAAUCAAAAUAAAAAGAUUGCAGCAAUCAAUUCGAAGAAUGCAAAAAAAGAAGAAAAAAAUAAGAGAAAAAUUGCAGCAGUUGAGGAAGAAGGCAACGAUCUGGAAAUACUUAAGAAAUUAGGUAAUAAAUUAUUGCAUGGUAAUUUUAAGAAAUUAUUACAGCGUAGAUUAAUGCACAGAUUAAGCGCAAGCGUGGUAUGAGGUACGAUCCACAAUUUAAGAAAUUUGCCUUAUCUUUAUAUUUUUUGAGUCCGCAAAAUUAUAGACAAUUGAAAACAUCAAUUGCAUUGCCUUCUGUGCGUUCUCUGCAACAAUUUACUCAAGCAUGAGAGUUAGUACCUGGUGUAAAUUCAAAAAUUUUUGAAAUAUUACGCAUCAAAUUAAUGACAGUACCAAGUGUGGAAAGACAUUGCACUUUAUGCAUAGACGAAAUGAGUUUAAAAAGUCAUUUAUGUUAUAAUGUUUCUCGGGAUGAAAUUACUGGUUUUCAAAACACUGUUUACGAAAAAUCUUCCGAAAAAUCCUUGCAAAAAGUGCUUUAGUUUUUAUGGCAUGAAGCAUUGCAGGUAAAUGGAAACUCCCUGUUUGUUAUUACUUCGUUGAAACUACAUGUCCCAGUAAUAUUAAAAAAAAAAUCUUAUUUUUGAAAUAAUAAUGAAAUUAAAGAAUAGUGGCGUUAAAAUACAUGCCUUAGUAACGGACAUGGGAUCUAAUUUCAUUUCGCAGCUUUCACGCGAUUUAGGAAUUUCAACCAAAAAUUCUAUCUUUUUUGUUAAGAAAGAAAAAUUAUUUUACAUUUUUUUUUGUUAAGAAAGAAAAAUUAUUUUACAUUUUUGACCUCAUUUAAUAAAAGCAACGCGCAAUAAUCUUAUAAAACAUAAUUUUCAAUUUAAUUAAAAAAUUGCUUCAUGGGCACAUUAUUCAAAUUUAUGAAAGAGAUAGCAAACAGUGGAUAAGAGCGGCUUAUAAUUUAUCGAAAUGUCAUAUUAAAUCAAAUGGUUUUCAAAAAAUAAAAGUCAAAUACGCAAGUUCAAGUAUUCAAUAAUCACGUAUCUGCAGGCAUGUAUGCACAAAUGUUUUCCGGUUUUCUUUCAACUAAAGCAAUUGGAACAAUUGAUUUAAUUUCUCAUUUCGAUAAAUUAUUUGAUAUUUUAAACUCUCUUCCAUGCUAAUCCAAAAGAAUACGGGAAAGUUUUCACUGGAAGUGAAAAAGAAAUAAAAUUUUUACAAAAUAUGCUGAAUUUUAUACGAUUGAAGUCAUUGACGAAAAUGAUUCAUGUGUAAA
Molecule: long non-coding RNA, 2100 nt
Organism: Cataglyphis hispanica
Lineage: Eukaryota; Metazoa; Arthropoda; Insecta; Hymenoptera; Formicidae
Exons: 4
Source: RefSeq, a predicted model, not a curated record